This 1234-nucleotide long non-coding RNA is filed under the name Sinocyclocheilus anshuiensis. RNAcentral describes it as "lncRNA (ENSSANG00000011442.1)". Lineage: Eukaryota; Metazoa; Chordata; Actinopteri; Cypriniformes; Cyprinidae. The record is from RNAcentral.
UUUAAAAGCAUCACAGAAUCGAUUCUUUAGUUCUCACCUGUCUCUUGUGUUCGGAUCUCUCACAUGACAGGGAGAAUGGGGACAGAGGAAGGGUCUGUAACACAAACGAAUUGCUGAAGGUUCUUCGAAGUUUUUGGAAAACUAAAUGCCCAAAACUGAUAUUCACAGACCACCUGAACACUCACCCGGGAGGGACAGCUCGGGUUUACAGAAACGCUGCUCCGACGAUACCGAGCCGAACUAUUAGAGCUGAAUACUGUCGUCCCGUCGCUGCAGUGCCAGCAAUCAACAUCACUCAGAAGAGAGUGCAGUUCUCUCACCUGACGUUCGUGAUCAUGGGGGCGCUGUUCGACCUUCGGAGGGCUCCUCCUGCGCAUGCGCACUGGUCCACCUCCAUCCUCUCCAUAGCUCGUCCUCUGGCGCCGGGACUGCUCGUUACUCACGGCCGGGCUGAACGCGACCUGACGCGGCCUAACCCCCAAAUCUCACCCGGCAAAAGCCCGACCAGCAGGCCUCACGCCAAAAUACCCGAUCCAAUUUAACUGAAUGAACUGCUUUCCCGUGUCUAUCGCAUUUUGUUUUAUUUUCCAAACGAAAUAGUGUCAGCUUGAUACACUAAUUUACUGAACAGCUGUGAGCUCGAGCUGCAGCUGGUUUAUCGGAUCGCACACAAACUUAGUAUGAACUCCUCAGGUUGCUUUCGUCGGCGUAAACAGGAAGCAAAUACAGUUAUUUCUUAGCAUUAAAGAGAUUUUUCGUAUUCAGACCACAAGUUAUGUAUAGUCGGCACUAUUUCCAAAGCAAAGCCACCAACAAGGUCCUUUGGCUUUUUAAUCCAAUCCAAUUUAUCCAAACAGAGCAAAUAAAACAUCGAAAAGCAAAAACAGAACAUAAGCGAAUAAAUACGGAUAAAAGUGGUAAGAAAAUACGCUUUCGGGUCUUUUCGGUCAAAUGUCGUUAUAAAGGUGAAGCUUUCUGCCACGGCUUGUUUUUCUUGUUUUUUUUUUUUUCAAGUUUACCUGCUAGUUUGUAAAGCAGUCGGAGAAAUGACAUAACACCAUCCCGAUCAAACAUAUGAUCGUCGGCUCUGUCGGCGAAAGCAUCCUCAUCUAAAAGUGUCUGCUGAUACAGUCUGAAACACGGGAUACAUUAAAAGUUUUCGGUCAUUUCUUAAUUUAGAAAAUAAAACAUAUUUCCCGCAACCAAAUAGAGAUUGUGCAUCCCCUUGUACAAC